Molecule: ribosomal RNA, 407 nt
Filed under: uncultured bacterium
Lineage: Bacteria
Description: partial 16S ribosomal RNA
Rfam family: Bacterial small subunit ribosomal RNA
Source: RNAcentral
CACGAACGCUGGCGGCGUGCCUAAUACAUGCAAGUAGGACGCAGUUGCGAACGGGUGAUUAACGCGUAGGUAACUGCCUAUUAGAGGGGGAUAACUAUUGGAAACGAUAGCUAAUACCGCAUACUAGUAGAUGGACCUGCGUUGUAUUAGCUAGUAGGUAGGGUAAUGGCCUACCUAGGCGACGAUACAUAGCCGCCCUGGGAGGGGGAUCGGCCACACUGGGACUGGGGAACGGCCCAGACUCCUACGGGAUGCAGCAGUAGGGGAUCUUCGGCAAUGGGGGGAACCCUGAACGGGCAACGCCGCGGGAGUGGAGAAGGUUUUCGGAUCGGAAAGCUCUGUUGUUAAGGAAGCGGUACUUAACCAGAAAGGGACGGCUAACUACGUGCCAGCAGCCGCGGUAAUUC